Non-coding RNA from Struthio camelus australis, 5997 nucleotides. The record is from RefSeq and is a predicted model, not a curated record. NCBI's taxonomy places the organism in Eukaryota, Metazoa, Chordata, Aves, Struthioniformes, Struthionidae.
AGCAGAUUGGAGCAACUUUUAAAGAGGAACACUUAAAGAGGAUACCGGUUUUAACCAAUGCAAAUGAUACAGAAUGGAAAAGGUUAUGCAGAUUGAUUUCCUGCUUCAAGCAAACUGGACAGCUGCAUCUUCCUCUCACGAGGACAACACAAGCAAGGAUUUAUAAGGAUAACCACGCUGGGACUCAACAGUAAGUGGAAAAAAAAGACAUUAGCCCAACCCUGAAGACAAAUUUAUCUAGAAUUGAAUGGAAAAGCAACCAAAACAAUUAUAUGUACCAAAAAAGAACUGUGCUCCUGAAAAGGCCAAUGCCACCAUGUCGACAACUUCAACAACUUGUGUCAGCACUAAAUAUGCUAAGUGUAGCAUAAUUCGUGCAUCUGACUGAUACCUUUGCAUAUAUGUACCUAGAGGUCAAAUUCAGGUGUUCUGACAAGAAGUGUCCUAGGAAAAACGAUGGGAGGACACACGGCAGUGAUGGAUACUCACCUGGCAUUUGAUCUUUUAACAUCGGAGAAAGAAGAGGAAAGCGUGGCUCAUAACUCUGACAUUUUUAGAAGUACUUGGCAAUUUGGCAAUGCUGGUACUGGGAGGGGUCUAUGUGAGCGUGGUUACCGUUAAGUAUGUAUUUUCCACAUGCAAUUGUGAUUUUAAAGUAUAAACUGUCUUCUUUAAAUACGUUGGUGUACACUGUCAGCACAGCGAAGAUGCUGAUGUCUGAGAACCUACUAAUCUAACAUUUUUCCUCUACUAUUUGCAGAAAUUCAAGGAUACUUCUUGUGCAGUAAUACGUUACUGCACAAAGUAGGAUCUUAUUCUGCAGCCACCUGAGAAAAAAAAAAAAGGGAGAGGGAAUGGUAAUGCAGUCAGUACUGAGGCUUAACUAUUUUCCUCUCUCUCUCUUUCUUUUUUCUGUUGAUGAACAUUUAGUUCCAACAAACCACAGAACUGCCUAGAGCCAAGGUCAAAUCUCUAUAAAGGCUAGGAGAGGUGCAGACACUAACUUGGAGGGAUAUAUCUGCGGAGAGUACUGAUGUGCUGAUCUUGGACUGUAGCCGCUACUUGUUAUUACUGCAAAACAGAAAACAAGAGAACGUCACUUUAAAAAGUCAUGAAAUCAAUACAGCCAAACAUUCUAAACACUAAUAAAGUCACAUUGGCAGAAAAUCUCAUUGAAAUUCAAAGCUUUUCAUCUAAGUAGAUGCCAUCUAACCUGUGACAUCCUAAUACAAAAAUUAAAACAUGGCACUCAUAAAUCACUCAUGUUGUAAAGAACUUUUUUCUUGGUAUGAGCAUAUAGCAGCUUUUAAGCUUGACUAGCAUGCUUCUGACUAUAUUUUAGAGACCUACACUUCACACAUAAUCUGUGAUCCACACACUAUAGAUCUUUCAAAUUUGCAAGUUGCAUUAAAAUUGCCAUUUAAAAAGAGUUCUGUAAUUUAACAUAUGGUAUUGCAUGAGAUUGAAAUAACAUGCAUAUAAGUUUAAAUUCUCACAUUAACAAGUUUAAUUUCAACACUGGAUAGGAAAAAUAUGUCUUAUUUGGACACAAUUUUGAUCAGCUUAGCAGUGAUGGAAGAUAUCAGAUUGACUGCAGUAACUGUCCUAGAAAAUGAAUUUCCUUCCUUAUCAUCAGGCUGAUUAGAACACAGGUACUAACAAUGAUAUUUUAUUACAAAUGUAAGCAUAAACAGUCCUGUACAGUAGCCAUCAAAAUCUUGCAUGUCUAUACUAUUAACAGCUGCAUUCUUCCAAGAAAGCUAACAGAACGAUAGUCAUAUCCCAUUAAAAUUUCAUUCAGAAGCGGUGCUCACACUGGAUUAGUUCCAAGUGUUUGGAAGUUUCCUUUGACCAUCUGUCUUGACAAAGACAGAUGUAUUCCAAAUACAUGUAGUCUAAAGUGCUGAACCAAUCCCUUCAGAGCAAAUCCAUACUGGGCAAACAUACAGAGUGUCUUUAUUAGGCCAUCUGCUGUUCAUUCACUUUUCAAAAGAUUAAAGUAGUACGCAAUGAAGCACUGGAAUUUCUUUAGUCUAAUCAAUCAUAGCUGUACUUCAAAGUAUACCCUCUUCCUGAGUUGUUCGUAAUGGUAGCAGAAACGAACUUCCAGAACUGUAUUAGUGACAAAUAGGUUUAGGUUCCUAACUAUUUUAUGAAACAUGAUAUAUUUCUACAUCUAGGUCUAAUUAAUGUCUCUGAAAUCUAUUGCUUUGAACACAUGCAGAAUUUCAUAUUUUUAAAGCUAGUUUAAACACAUUUAGAACACGUAGGUCUUAAAAGGAAAAUACAGUAGAAGAAAAACCAUUAGCUUCUUUUUUAAAGGUGCAUGGAGUAUGGCUUGAAAAUAAAGAAGAAUUGGAUAAUAAUUUUUAGAACAUGGGCCAUCAGUUUUCAUAAAACAGAGUUGACGGCUGAAAAGAUAUUAAGGGUUUUCCUGUAAUGGAAAUCUGCUGAAUUUACAUAUUCCAUGUGGAAGUUCUUUCUUUUUGAGAAUGCCUUGCCAUGGUUUAAGCUCAAUUUGCAGAGUGAGCCACUAGGUGUGCAUAAAGCUAUUCUCAGAUACAGGCAAAGUUAAGAGCUGCAUACAUCAACAGAAAUGGCCCAUAAAACUCCAAAGGAUCCUCUUAUUUGUUCAACUCUGGAAGAGCAAUCACUCUUCCCUGUUGUAUCGCUGCGACCUUUCUGAAGACGCGUAAGAGUUAACAAAGUGACCUUGGUGAUUUCUCAGGCCUGUUUUUUUUAUUCUUUAUCCAUAUACCUUAUUUCAAAAAUUCAGACAAGAAAAGAAAGUAUUUUUGGAAAUGUGUCUGGCUUUUAAAUUUUCUAUUUCUUUCAGUUUUCCUAAUGACACUAGUGGCGUAGGCAAGAGACAGAGAAACAGUCAAGUGCCCCAAAAGUAAACUGUGUAUCUUUUAAAUGAAAAGUCUUGUCCUUUCACUCUCUCUGGUAGCUUGUCACAUCAGUUUGUACGCAACAUUUUAAACUGUUAGAUAUUUGGGAAACACGUUGGUGUAAGGCCUACCAUAAAAGAACACUAUGACUGAGUAGAGCCUGUGGACUGGACCUAUGUAUCACAGCUGAGAUUAUGUUAAAGUCUAAUAAUAUUCAGAAUUGCCAGAUUUCACUGCUGGAUGUCUUCCUAAUCCUACUUUGCUUUUGGUGGGGAGGGCUGGCAAUGGAAGAGAUGGUGAAGGGAGGUUGUUACGUUUUUUAUAAUUAUACUACCUUACAUAGCCAUUUCUAAGAACAGGGCUAGACACCAUUACAUUACUUUGCUCAUGCUGAAAACAAAACUGUCACUCUCUUCUCCGAAAAGCUCGAAUAUUUCUAAGACUUCAUUACUUGAAUUUUCCAAAGGAAUGGUCUUCAGGGCUGGUAAAAUACCCUUGAUUUCUCAGUUUCUCAUCAAGUUACACACCUCUGGAAAAAAAAAAAACCCACAGUUUGUGCAUGCUGUGUAGAGGCACGAUAGGGGAUGUUUGCAGGUGAAUUUCCUUUUCACUGAGCCCACCUUCUCUGCAAACUGCAGUUGCUGGCUGAUGUGUGCCCUGCAGGGUUUCUGCACUGCUACCCUCUCUCUAGCUGUGGGGAGGUAAGAGCUUCUGGAGUAAAAUGUUCAAGGUGGAGGUUCCGAAACAGGAACGAGGGACUGGCUGGAGGAGAGAAGUCUAAGAAAAGAGCCCCUUGGGCUGGAAAUUUGAAGACGGGACGGGAAACAGGUUAAGGCCUGAAGGUACUGGCUGGGAAAAGAAAUCGUUUACCAAGGUUGUCUGAGAUGGAGAGAUAAAGGUUGUGAACGGGACAGAACAAGACAGAGAGAGGGAAAAAGACAAUUGUGGAGAAAAAGCAGCAGUACCUGUGCCCUAUGGGGCACACUCCCAGCUAGAGCGUGGCAGAGCUGAGGCUCACUAUGGUGCCGAGGGCACAUUCCAGUCCCAACUAAUUUUGAUCCGCAGAGGGCAUGACAAGCUAACAGACAGAUCUUACCACUUACUCUGUUAGCUUAAUUGGCAAAGGUGGCUGUGAAGAAUUUAUAUGAUCAUAAAAUGUGCUGAUAGCAUGCGCUGGAUUCAGUAUAGUCACAUGCUGGAAUAUCUUAUUUUUCCAUUACACAUCUGGAAAAUUCUGUGCAAAGAAGUUAGGUUAAAAGGAUCUCAUUUAAAUAACGAAUCACAAUGUAUAAACACAAGGUAACCAAAGGUUGUGCAGCAGUGACGUUUCCUACCUUUGCCUUUCUAUCCUUCAGAUUUUUUUUUAAUAUUCUUUUUCUGUGUCAUAAAUUGUAAGCAGAAAGGAUGAUGGGAAUGUCAAAUGUCUCUCUCUGCUCCAUUAAAAUGCUAAAGAGCUCUCAGACUAAUCCAGUAUUCCAAGCAACUUAAGCACAAGAAAUGCAUGUGCUAAUGAUACAUGAGUUAAAGCAAAUUCACAGAUUAUGAAAAUGCUCACUUUAAGACUGUUCUGCAGUUCUCCACAUCCUGUAAAUAUCCACCCCAGGAAGAGUUUGCUACAGUAUCACAGAGACUCAAAUACAAUAUGCUGAUAUUAAUUACCAACCGCCAUUCUCUGAAGAAAAAGGAGGAGGAAGAGGGGUGCACAAAAUAAUCUCUCUACCUUGUUAACCCGUGCUAAUAAGCAAAAAUUUUCCCAGUGGUAACUCCACAGAAUGGUGUAAUGAGAGCUUUGAGUAUGAGCUGUAAUACCAGAGCCUGGGUGAGGCCACUGGGACAACUUUCAACUCAUUAGAUCAACAUGGUGUAUUUUUCAAUUUAAACGUUGCUUUGUGGGACUUCAGAUGCCAGGUUUAUUACUUAGUAUAUUCAAUUUACACUAUUGACGCACGAUUUGAAUCUAGUAUAUUCAGUACAAACUCGCAGGUUUAUCAUCGUGAAUCUUAAAGCCAGCACGUCCAUUUCCGAAGUAUUUCUGAUUACAAAACACUAGGGAAAGCCAGCAGGAUAAGUGUUCCAGAGCAAUUUAAAAAAGCUGCAAUGUUUAUCCAUGAAAAAUCAGCGUGCAUCACAGUUACUUGUGAGUUCUAAUGUGUCCUUCCUGCCAUUAUACCUCACAGAGAUCAUCACUUUCUAUGUUAAAGCAGGUCAUUAGGUAUAGAGCUGGUUCUACCUUACAUCCUGGAGUUCAGCCUCUCACCCGGCUUUAGGAAACAUCAUGGGUUUUUGUUGUUCUUUGAGCAUGGAAGUCAAUUUUAAUGGACAGAAUAUCUGAAUGAGAGAAAUUCUACACGGCAGACUCUCAAAGGGGCCUUAGCAGUACGAGUUCUCUUUUCACCCACAUCUCAUUUCAUAAAAGUAUUUAAUAACAGAAACAAACAUUUAAUAACAUAAUUAAAUUGUUCCAUAUUCAUCAAAGAAUGCUUACGUCCUUCUGCCCUGUGAAUGUAAGACAGAGUAGGUGAUACCCCUGUUAGUGCUCUGUAAGUCUACGCAUCUGCAUGAAAUGAGAACACAGUUGUUCUGAAAGCUGCAGGAAGGCACUAGCAUUAUGAUUUUGUCAUAGCUGGGAAUGACACAUAUAUGUAACUGUUUAUUAGGGAAAAAAUAACAAUGAUGUUCAGUGUUAUGCUAUGUUACCCACUGUUUUCAAUUGCGGCUGGUUUGCCAAAAAAGGUAUCUUUCUACUUUUUAGUAUUUAUUGUCAUUGGCAAUCCCUUAAGCUUCCCAAAUAACUAGCUAGGUUAAAACAUGAAACAUUUAUUUUUAUUAAGUGAGCUUUUAUUGUUCCUUACCACUUCUGUCACAAAGCUGAUCCAAUCAAGUUGUCCAAUUUGCAAGUACCAGUAAAAGGCAAGAGUGUAAAUACUGGAUAUAAUUUUUAUUUAAGACUCAAAAUGUUACCAAGGCAGGCUCUGCCUCUUACUCUGAUGUGAUGAAGACUAGACAUUACUCAGAUAGACAGACUAUUGAUCUUCCCACUUGGAAUGACCACACUCAUUUAUUUCAUACCUGAGCUUGUGGCCUAACCCGAGAAUCACGCUCCUUU